This 465-nucleotide ribosomal RNA is filed under the name uncultured bacterium. RNAcentral's name for it is "partial 16S ribosomal RNA". It matches the Rfam family "Bacterial small subunit ribosomal RNA", at positions 338 to 795 of the family's 1533-position model. The record is from RNAcentral.
CCUACGGGAGGCAGCAGUGGGGAAUUUUGCGCAAUGCUCGUAAGAGUGACGCAGCGACGCCGCGUGAAUGACGAAGGCCUUCGGGUCGUAAAGUUCUUUCGACAGGGAAGAAAAUGCCUAUAAGUAACUGUGUAUGUAUUGACGGUACCUGUAUAAGCAGCCCCGGCUAACUCCGUGCCAGCAGCCGCGGUAAUACGGAGGGGGCGGGCGUUGUUCGGAGGGACUGGGCGUAAAGAGCACGUAGGCGGUGUUGUAAGUCAUUAGUCAAAGACUAGAGCUCAACUUUAGUAAGGCUAGUGAUACUAUAAUACUAGAGUAUCAGAGAGGAUUGCAGAAUUCCUGGUGGAGCGGUGAAAUGCGUAGAGAUCAGGAGGAAUACCGUUAGCGAAGGCGGCAAUCUGGCUGGAAACUGACGCUGAGGUGCGAAAGCGUGGGUAGCAAACAGGAUUAGAUACCCUAGUAGUC